RNAcentral lists this ribosomal RNA (421 nucleotides) under uncultured bacterium. RNAcentral's name for it is "bacterial SSU rRNA". It matches the Rfam family "Bacterial small subunit ribosomal RNA", at positions 355 to 774 of the family's 1533-position model. The record is from RNAcentral.
UGAGGAAUAUUGGGCAAUGCCCGCAAGGGUGACCCAGCAACGCCGCGUGGAGGAUGAAUGUCGUAAGAUUGUAAACUCCUGUUAGAGGGGAAGAAUAGUACCGGUUGGACCGGUAUAUGACUGUACCCUCAGAGAAAGCCCCGGCUAACUACGUGCCAGCAGCCGCGGUAAUACGUAGGGGGCAAGCGUUGUCCGGAUUUACUGGGUGUAAAGGGCGCGCAGGCGGGUAAAAAGUCAGUGGUGAAAUCCUACAGCUUAACUGUAGAACUGCCUUUGAUACUUUUAUUCUUGAGUUCGGGAGAGAGAGACGGAAUUCCAGGUGUAGUGGUGAAAUACGUAGAUAUCUGGAAGAACACCAGUUGCGAAGGCGGUCUCUUGGUCCGACACUGACGCUGAGGCGCGAAAGCGUGGGGAGCAAACA